Molecule: long non-coding RNA, 620 nt
Organism: Equus caballus (horse)
Lineage: Eukaryota; Metazoa; Chordata; Mammalia; Perissodactyla; Equidae
Source: RefSeq, a predicted model, not a curated record
ACCAUUUAGACCCGAGUUCCGCUGGGGUCCUCCCUACCAGGUGCCGUUUCAAACAAACAUUGUUGGGGAAGGCAGGAAGCGAGCGCAGGCCCCCCGGUGGCAGUCGCACGGUGGAUAAUACCCAGAUGACGAAAUCAGAGGCCUGGCCUUCAGGCUCAGAAGCACACCAAGUCUGCUCCGUUGGAGGCUGCCAGAGGAUACCCCUGACACAACAGAGUGAUCAGUUGUGGAAGGGCUGUGUUAUUUCUAACCCUCACACUAAUUUUGCAAGAUAGGCCUGCCCUCAGGACACCGAAGCUGCGCUGGUGGCCACCCGUCCCCCGACGACUUUUCUGCAAGUCUAGAGGGAAAUCGGCACCUCCCAGGAGGUUUGGGGCCCCUCUCUCCUCUCUAAGUGUCCCCAGGCCGUUCCCCAGCCCUUCGCUCUGACAGCGGGCCCGCAGCUGUCCAGAUACUGCCUCUGGAAUACGGGAGAAAGCGGGGACACUGAAUAAAAGGGAACCCCAGCCCCGCCUGGCCUAGUCCCCUCUGUCUCAUUCACCUCACAAGGCCGCCCCCACGGAGGACACCGAUUCUCCGGAGAGGAGGCAGCCCCAAACUGUCCCCGGAGCCCUGAACAA